RNAcentral lists this ribosomal RNA (188 nucleotides) under uncultured bacterium. RNAcentral's name for it is "partial 16S ribosomal RNA". It matches the Rfam family "Bacterial small subunit ribosomal RNA", at positions 326 to 538 of the family's 1533-position model. The record is from RNAcentral.
ACGCUCGACACCUACGAGGCAGCAGUGGGGAAUAUUGCACAAUGGGGGAAACCCUGAUGCAGCGACGCCGCGUGAGCGAAGAAGUAUUUCGGUAUGUAAAGCUCUAUCAGCAGGGAAGAAACUGACGGUACCUGACUAAGAAGCACCGGCUAAAUACGUCNCAGAGCGCGAUNUGAGNGGCGNGNGAG